Molecule: ribosomal RNA, 1638 nt
Filed under: Salmonella enterica subsp. enterica serovar Thompson
Lineage: Bacteria; Pseudomonadati; Pseudomonadota; Gammaproteobacteria; Enterobacterales; Enterobacteriaceae
Description: bacterial LSU rRNA
Rfam family: Bacterial large subunit ribosomal RNA
Source: RNAcentral
GGGUUGUGAGGUUAAGCGACUAAGCGUACACGGUGGAUGCCCUGGCAGUCAGAGGCGAUGAAGGGCGUGCUAAUCUGCGAUAAGCGCCGGUAAGGUGAUAUGAACCGUUAUAACCGGCGAUACCCGAAUGGGGAAACCCAGUGUGACUCGUCACACUAUCAUUAACUGAAUCCAUAGGUUAAUGAGGCGAACCGGGGGAACUGAAACAUCUAAGUACCCCGAGGAAAAGAAAUCAACCGAGAUUCCCCCAGUAGCGGCGAGCGAACGGGGAGGAGCCCAGAGCCUGAAUCAGCAUGUGUGUUAGUGGAAGCGUCUGGAAAGACGCGCGAUACAGGGUGACAGCCCCGUACACAAAAGCGCAUGUGUUGUGAGCUCGAUGAGUAGGGCGGGACACGUGGUAUCCUGUCUGAAUAUGGGGGGACCAUCCUCCAAGGCUAAAUACUCCUGACUGACCGAUAGUGAACCAGUACCGUGAGGGAAAGGCGAAAAGAACCCCGGCGAGGGGAGUGAAAAAGAACCUGAAACCGUGUACGUACAAGCAGUGGGAGCCCCACCACUAAGCCAGUGGUGAACUCCACAUACGCAUCCUUUGCUGAAGGCAAUGGUUAACGGAGCGAAAGCGACGUUCAACCGCAAAACAAGCAGAGGGGGCUUAGUGGUGGGGUGACUGCGUACCUUUUGUAUAAUGGGUCAGCGACUUAUAUUCUGUAGCAAGGUUAACCGUAUAGGGGAGCCGGAGGGAAACCGAGUCUUAAUUGGGCGUUAAGUUGCAGGGUAUAGACCCGAAACCCGGUGAUCUAGCCAUGGGCAGGUUGAAGGUUGGGUAACACUAACUGGAGGACCGAACCGACUAAUGUUGAAAAAUUAGCGGAUGACCUGUGGCUGGGGGUGAAAGGCCAAUCAAACCGGGAGAUAGCUGGUUCUCCCCGAAAGCUAUUUAGGUAGCGCCUCGUGAACUCAUCUCCGGGGGUAGAGCACUGUUUCGGCUAGGGGGCCAUCCCGGCUUACCAACCCGAUGCAAACUGCGAAUACCGGAGAAUGUUAUCACGGGAGACACACGGCGGGUGCUAACGUCCGUCGUGAAGAGGGAAACAACCCAGACCGCCAGCUAAGGUCCCAAAGUCAUGGUUAAGUGGGAAACGAUGUGGGAAGGCCCAGACAGCCAGGAUGUUGGCUUAGAAGCAGCCAUCAUUUAAAGAAAGCGUAAUAGCUCACUGGUCGAGUCGGCCUGCGCGGAAGAUGUAACGGGGCUAAACCAUGCACCGAAGCUGCGGCAGCGACACUCAGGUGUUGUUGGGUAGGGGAGCGUUCUGUAAGCCUGUGAAGGUGUGUCGUGAGGCAUGCUGGAGGUAUCAGAAGUGCGAAUGCUGACAUAAGUAACGAUAAAGCGGGUGAAAAGCCCGCUCGCCGGAAGACCAAGGGUUCCUGUCCAACGUUAAUCGGGGCAGGGUGAGUCGACCCCUAAGGCGAGGCCGAAAGGCGUAGUCGAUGGGAAACGGGUUAAUAUUCCCGUACUUGGUGUUACUGCGAAGGGGGGACGGAGAAGGCUAUGUUGGCCGGGCGACGGUUGUCCCGGUUUAAGCGUGUAGGUGUGUGUUCCAGGUAAAUCCGGUUCACUUUAACACUGAGGCGUGAUGA